UACUUUGACAUUUCAUAUUUCUGGACCC
Molecule: non-coding RNA, 28 nt
Filed under: Mus musculus (house mouse)
Lineage: Eukaryota; Metazoa; Chordata; Mammalia; Rodentia; Muridae
Source: RNAcentral